RNAcentral lists this ribosomal RNA (253 nucleotides) under uncultured bacterium. RNAcentral's name for it is "partial 16S ribosomal RNA". It matches the Rfam family "Bacterial small subunit ribosomal RNA", at positions 524 to 776 of the family's 1533-position model. The record is from RNAcentral.
UACGGAGGGAGCAAGCGUUACUCGGAAUUAUUGGGCGUAAAGGGCGCGUAGGCGAUUUGAAAAGUCUUGUGUGAAAGCCCCGAGCUUAACUCGGGAAGUGCACAAGAAACUGUUGAAUUUGAGUUCCGGAGAGGAAGGCAGAAUUCCCGGUGUAGCGGUGAAAUGCGUAGAUAUCGGGAGGAAUACCGGUGGCGAAGGCGGCAUCCUGGACCGACAUUGACGCUGAGGAGCGAAAGCUAGGGGAGCAAACGGG